UUUCAUGUGAUGUAACAACAGGACAGCUAGCGUGGCCUGAGCCCCCAUCCAUGCCAAGAACAUCUCGUUGAACCCUUCCAACAGCCGUAAGAGCAGUCAAGCACUGGGAAGCAUCACCCCCGGAGUCUCCUCCAGCCGCCCUCAGACUCCACGAACAGCAUCGGGAAGAUCCUGACUCCCGCCACCCACCCCCAGCCUCCUCCUGAGCCCUCGUGGUGGCUGCUGUGACGCAUCGCCCAGAGCCCCCUUCAGAAAUGGAGGACGUGCCCCCUGGCUGCAGAAGAGCUGCAGACACACAGCCCUCACCUGUCAUCCCGCUUCCAGAGAUUGCCCAGCUGGGGGAGCCGCCUCACCCACGACCACACCCCCUCCCCGGGGCGGUCCGCCGCCAGUGAUCCACACAGGGGACUCAGCACUCAGACGCUAUCUUCAAGAGCAGUGCAUUUCAGGAUCCCCAGACCCGGAGUCACGGGCCAGGCCAGGGCCAUCCCAGGACUGGAGGUGGCCGCCCGACUCGGCCAAAGGCGGGCACCAGAGUAAGAUUGCCAUCCGUAUUUUAUCGCUGAGACCGCUAAGGAGCAGAAAAGGUCAGCCUGCGCCUGAGUCACCCGGGGAGGUCACGGUUUGUGCUGAGGAGACGGACCCAGGCCCGUAGGAAGAGCCGGCCCACCAGGAUGCAGGCCCCCAGGGCGAUGGCGACGACGGGCCAGGAGCCGUUUCAACCCUUCACGUGCCCCCACCCACCGGAUCCACAGAGCAGCUCCGUGAGGUGAGGAUUCUCAUUACCCCCAUUUUAUAGACGAGGCAAUGGGGGCUCCGAGGAGAGACGCCCAAGGCCACACACCCAGGAAAUGCCAGACUCGGGCUUCAGUCUGGCUCCAGGCCGCCCCAACCUACAGCUCCACUGCAACAUGGAGGCCCAGCCAGCUCUGGCGUGGGGCAGCCCUGGCACCAGCCCCUGCCACCCCUCACCGCCUCUGCGACCUCGAGCACAUGAGCCAAUCUUCUGAGCCUCAGGGCUCGGGGCGGUGAAAAGGGGGAAAAGCGGCGCCCGCUCUACAGGAGUCUAAGGACCAGAGACAACGAUGCCAAAGGACCUGGGGGACGGGUCUGGCACACAGCAGGCAUUCAGUAAAUGGCUAUUAGUAUUCAAAUUGCCGAGGAGACCAGGCUUCACGCCCUGGCAUGGGUCCCCCAGCUUCGGGCACGGGGAGAGCCGGGCUGGCCCCUGUCUCCCCUCCCCGCCCCUCCCCUCCGCCACCUCCCCUCCUCCUGAAUCAGAGGCCAGCAGGGCUCUUUCUGCAUUUGGUCUGCCCCAUGGAGUGGACCUGGGAGCCCUCAGGGUCCAGGGACCCGUCACCGGGGCUGGACUCAGACCCCAGCGGCGUUGGGAGUGAGCAGGACCGUCAGAAGAUGUGGCUUCAGAUGAGAGACAAGUCAGACUCAUACGUCACAGCCCGUACAGAGGAGCCCUGUUUCUGGUCAUGGAGGGAAAUGGAACCCGGCAGUCCUGGUGUCCCUCCCCAGAGACUCAGCCCGGUGACUGGCCGUGGGGCUGCAGCCUCCCUGUAUUACCAGAACUUUAAUCUCACACCCAAUUCAAAACAACCUCAUCUUCCCAGACACCUCUCAGCCUGGGCCUCCCAGGGUUGGGACCCUGCCGUGGAGAGACUGGUCAUGGCCGGUGUUCUGGAUGCUUCCUCUUCUGUGUUGUGCUUCUGCACCUGCUGGCCUCCGCCUCGCCUCUGCUGGCUUCCUUAGGGCUGGAGCGGAGCAAGGCGGGAGAGGCACGGGUGAAGACCUGCCAGGGUUGGUGCCCUCUGGGGGUGGUGCAUCCUUCCCCUCCCGGGACACUUGGGAGGGUUUCCUGGAGACACCCCGUGGCAGCUCCCCGGCUGGUCCUGCUUGCCAAACCCCUCAGCCCCUGGCUUUCUGCUGUCCCCACCCCCCAACAGACUCUCGGUGGAGUCAUCUCACUCUAAGCUGGCUCUCCAGGUGGAGGCCCUUUCAAUAUAACUUCCUGCUGGAGAGGAGGACCCACAUCCGGCCGGGAGAAGCCCACGUCUUCGCCCCGCACUCAUGGUAGGAGACUCUGGCCGCCACCUUAUUGCUGGGUCAUGUCCUUAGUCAUCACUAGAGACUUUUUUAUGUCAGUGAGGUCCCCAGUCCCUGCAUCACGCAGGUUUUAGGUGGCUCAGGCAUCACUUGUCUCGAGGCCCUUCUUUUGGCUUAAGGUGAGGGAGACGCACGGCUUUCCCCAUGAGGAGAAGACUGGAGGUGCCAUGGAACUCCAGAACCCCCCUAUCCAAGUCGUCCUCGUCUCCAUCUUUUCCCCAUCAGUUCUCACCCUUCCUUUGCAGGCGAUGGACAGAGGGGAGCCAGGUGGCACUUUUUGGGUCACCCUUAGGACAGCCUUCUGAGGUGACCCGCCAUGUCUCUGCAGUGUGUGGACCUGACCACCCUCUGUUCAGCUUUGUGACGGCAGGAGACAGUGUUCAAAUGCGGCCGCCAAUGAUUCUUCCCUUCCAAGAGUGCACAUGCCGCUCUUCCCGCCAGAAGGCGGAGUUUCUCCCCCUCCCGUCACACUGGGGCUGGCCUGCUUUGGGCCAUAGAGUGUGGAGGAGGUGACGCCAUGCUGGUGCCGGGCCUGGCCCUUGAGAGUCCCUUUCGCCCCCCUGGAACCCUGUCGCUGAGCUGUGAGGAGGUCCUGGCUGUGCUGCUGGAGAAGGAGGCUGUGCAGAGAGGCCGCGGGGGAUGAGGUGCCACAUGGACAGAGGGGCCCCGAGGCGGGAGAGCUCACGUGUGCCAGCCGACAGGCAGCCCAUGUGACGGGGGUCUUCUCAGGCCUUGCGCCCAUCACCAACUGAACGCGGCUGUGUGCGUGGUUUCAGCUGACUGACGCGGAGCAGAAGGCCAGCCCAGUCAACUGGAGACUCACGAGAAAUAGUAAAUCACUGUGGCUUUAAGACACUAAGUUCUGGAGCGUUCGUUACACAGCGAUAGUUCACUGAAACAGGAGCCUUUGCUGAACCGAGACACCAGGAGCCAGGAAACCAGGAAACUACGUCUCCCGUCAGAGUCUCACUCGGUGAGCAGGGCAUACAGGACAGGGCUGGGACCUCAGGAAGAACCCGGUAAAGAGCUACCAUUGAUCCUGGUGUCAUUAUUAAUAUCUGAGGUUGUGAAGACCUGGGUUCCAAUUCCAUCUUUGUCAGUUAGCCAGUUGGUGACGCCUCCCCGUUUUUGAGCCCGAUUUUUUCCAUCUGUGAAUGAGAACAUCUUAUUUCCUUCCAUGUGAUCGCUGUGAGGAUUAGAGAAAGUCUAUGUGCAGCCGCUGAAAUACGCUGUGAAAAUGGCGUAUCUCAGAUAGGGGCUAUUCCUGCAACCUGGAUCCUGGAUCCCGCGAGUGGAGGAGAGAUGCAGAUGCUGUAGUUGCCACAGGCGACUGUAAUGUCAACCUCCUCACAGCGGCCAACUGAACAUCUUUGGGUCAGAAGCUAAAUCAUGACGCUCUCCUGCAUAAAAUCCUUGGCAGUUAGACUGAGAUCCAAGCUCCUGCCAUGGCCUAUGUAUCAGUCACGGUUCAGCCAGGAAAACACCACCGGUGCCAGAUGGAUAUUAAUAGAUGGACUUAAUAUGGGGAACAAGCUAUGAAGGUGUACGAAGAGCAGAAAGAGCAAC
Molecule: long non-coding RNA, 3681 nt
Organism: Equus caballus (horse)
Lineage: Eukaryota; Metazoa; Chordata; Mammalia; Perissodactyla; Equidae
Source: Ensembl